UACGUAGGGUGCGAGCGUUAUCCGGAUUUACUGGGCGUAAAGAGUUGCGUAGGCGGCUUGUUUAGUCAAAGCUUAAAUCUUCUCGCUUAACGAGAAACCGGGUUUUGAAACUGGCAGGCUUGAGAUUCACAGAGGUAACUGGAACUUGCAGUGGAGCGGUGAAAUGCGUUGAGAUUGCAAGGAACACCAAAGGCGUAGGCAGGUUACUGGGUGAAUACUGACGCUGAUGCACGAAAGCUAGGGGAGCGAAAGGG
This 254-nucleotide ribosomal RNA is filed under the name uncultured bacterium. Its description in RNAcentral is "partial 16S ribosomal RNA". It matches the Rfam family "Bacterial small subunit ribosomal RNA", at positions 524 to 776 of the family's 1533-position model. The record is from RNAcentral.